CUGGUCUGUCUCUGGGUGAAUACUCAAGCUCUGGGCAGCUGGCACAGAGUCUUUUUUUCUUUUUUCCAGCAGUAGGUAAACCUUAGGAGGAACCAGUCAAAGGAAGCAGCACUGUCUGGAACUGUCAAGUUCUUGUUCGGCAACUCGGUUACUGGUUUGAUCUACUUUUCGGAUGUAGAGGCAAGUGGACUGCUGUCUUGAAAUGAUAAAAUUAAAAACAUGAAGUUUGUCAAACGUGGCAGUGCCUGUUUACAGACUGUUUAUUGCUUUCGCCAGUGGUAGAUAACGCUUACAAGGAAUUGGUCAAAGGAAAGAGUGCCUUCUGGAACUGUGAAGCUCUGCAUUGGUAACUCAGUGACUGGCUUGACCUACUGUCCAGCUCCAGAGGGAGGCAGACCCAUGUUUUGAAAUAAAAAAAAAAAAAAAAAUUAUGGCACCGCUCUAUGGCACCCAGAGGACCACCACUCUGUGUGGCAGUUAAAAGAAUCUGAUUUAGAGAUGGAGAGCAGCAGAGGUAAAGCAGCUGGGAAGAGAUAGGUAUUGCAGUAGGUAGGCUGUGGUUAUGAGGUGCCUCAGGGUGUGCUUUUCUCUUGUCUCUGCAGGUGCCUAGUGCAGUCUUGGACAGGGAAAUCCCCAUGUCACGGAGCAGUGAGGGAAGGUGAGAGUGUUGUGAGCGAGGUUGUUAUAAAUGACUGGGUCCC
This 701-nucleotide long non-coding RNA is filed under the name Anser cygnoides (Swan goose). RNAcentral describes it as "lncRNA (ENSACDG00005008344.1)". Lineage: Eukaryota; Metazoa; Chordata; Aves; Anseriformes; Anatidae. The record is from RNAcentral.